Molecule: ribosomal RNA, 467 nt
Filed under: uncultured bacterium
Lineage: Bacteria
Description: bacterial SSU rRNA
Rfam family: Bacterial small subunit ribosomal RNA
Source: RNAcentral
UUCCAGACUCCUACGGGAGGCAGCAGUGAGGAAUAUUGGUCAAUGGGCUAAGGCCUGAACCAGCCAAGUCGCGUGAGGGAGGACGGUCCUAUGGAUUGUAAACCUCUUUUGUCGGGGAGCAACGAGGCCACGUGUGGCCGAAGUGAGAGUACCCGAAGAAAAAGCAUCGGCUAACUCCGUGCCAGCAGCCGCGGUAAUACGGAGGAUGCGAGCGUUAUCCGGAUUUAUUGGGUUUAAAGGGUGCGUAGGCGGGCAUUUAAGCCGGCGGUCAAAUGUCGGGGCUCAACCCCGGCCUGCCGUCGGAACUGGGUGCCUUGAGUGGGCGAGAAGUAUGCGGAAUGCGUGGUGUAGCGGUGAAAUGCAUAGAUAUCACGCAGAACCCCGAUUGCGAAGGCAGCAUACCGGCGCCCUACUGACGCUGAGGCACGAAAGCGUGGGUAUCGAACAGGAUUAGAUACCCUCGUAGU